GUCACUAAGGUUCAGGGCAGGGUACUGGGGGGAGGCUAGUAACAGUGACUAAGGUUCAGGGCAGGGUACUGGGGGGAGGCUAGUAACAGUGACUAAGGUUCAGGGCAGGGUACUGGGGGGAGGCUAGUAACAGUGACUAAGGUUCAGGGCAGGGUACUGGGGGGAGGCUAGUAACAGUGACUAAGGUUCAGGGCAGGGUACUGGGGGGAGGCUAGUAACAGUGACUAAGGUUCAGGGCAGGGUACUGGGGGGAGGCUAGUAACAGUGACUAAGGUUCAGGGCAGGGUACUGGGGGGAGGCUAGUAACAGUGACUAAGGUUCAGGGCAGGGUACUGGGGGGAGGCUAGUAACAGUGACUAAGGUUCAGGGCAGGGUACUGGGGGGAGGCUAGUAACAGUCACUAAGGUUCAGGGCAGGGUACUGGGGGGAGGCUAGUAACAGUGACUAAGGUUCAGGGCAGGGUACUGGGGGGAGGCUAGUAACAGUGACUAAGGUUCAGGGCAGGGUACUGGGGGGAGGCUAGUAACAGUGACUAAGGUUCAGGGCAGGGUACUGGGGGGAGGCUAGUAACAGUGACUAAGGUUCAGGGCAGGGUACUGGGGGGAGGCUAGUAACAGUCACUAAGGUUCAGGGCAGGGUACUGGGGGGAGGCUAGUAACAGUGACUAAGGUUCAGGGCAGGGUACUGGGGGGAG
Oncorhynchus keta (chum salmon) is the source of this 694-nucleotide long non-coding RNA. RefSeq lists it as uncharacterized. NCBI's taxonomy places the organism in Eukaryota, Metazoa, Chordata, Actinopteri, Salmoniformes, Salmonidae. The record is from RefSeq and is a predicted model, not a curated record. The transcript is spliced from 5 exons.